RNAcentral lists this ribosomal RNA (704 nucleotides) under uncultured Bacteroidales bacterium. RNAcentral describes it as "bacterial SSU rRNA". It matches the Rfam family "Bacterial small subunit ribosomal RNA", at positions 55 to 746 of the family's 1533-position model. Lineage: Bacteria; Pseudomonadati; Bacteroidota; Bacteroidia; Bacteroidales. The record is from RNAcentral.
AUGCAAGUCGUGGGGCAGCGGAUGCUUAGCUUGCUAAGUAUGCCGGCGACCGGCGCACGGGUGAGUAACGCGUACCGAACCUGCCCAUCACACAGGGAUAGGCUUGCGAAAGCAAGAUUAAUACCUGAUGGUCUCAGUUGUAUGCAUGUAUGAUUGAGUAAAGCCUUCGGGCGGUGAUGGAUGGCGGUGCGUCCCAUUAGGAAGUUGGCGGGGUAACGGCCCACCAAUCCUUCGAUGGGUAGGGGCUCUGAGAGGAAGGUCCCCCACAUUGGAACUGAGAUACGGUCCAAACUCCUACGGGAGGCAGCAGUGAGGAAUAUUGGUCAAUGGGCGAGAGCCUGAACCAGCCAAGUAGCGUGCGGGAUGAAGGCCCUUGUGGUCGUAAACCGCUUUUAUCAGUGAAUAAAGUGCACCACGUGUGGUGUCAUUGCAGGUAGCUGAAGAAAAAGGACCGGCUAAUUCCGUGCCAGCAGCCGCGGUAAUACGGAAGGUCCGGGCGUUAUCCGGAAUUAUUGGGUUUAAAGGGAGCGCAGGCGGGAGUAUAAGUCAGCUGUUAAAUAUCAGAGCCCAACUCUGUUAUGCAGUUGAAACUAUAUUUCUUGAGUACGCACAGGGAUGGCGGAAUUCAGGGUGUAGCGGUGAAAUGCUUAGACAUCCUGAAGAACUCCGAUCGCGAAGGCAGCCAUCCGGAGCGUAACUGACGC